This 176-nucleotide ribosomal RNA is filed under the name uncultured Myxococcales bacterium. RNAcentral describes it as "partial 16S ribosomal RNA". It matches the Rfam family "Bacterial small subunit ribosomal RNA", at positions 340 to 525 of the family's 1533-position model. Lineage: Bacteria; Pseudomonadati; Myxococcota; Myxococcia; Myxococcales. The record is from RNAcentral.
UACGGGAGGCAGCAGUGGGGAAUCUUGCGCAAUGGGCGAAAGCCUGACGCAGCGACGCCGUGUGUGCGAUGAAGGUCUUCGGAUCGUAAAGCACUGUCGCGAGGGAAGAAACCGAGAGGGUGACGGUACCUCGAAAGGAAGCACCGGCUAACUCUGUGCCAGCAGCCGCGGUAAUA